UCUGCGCAUAUGUAUGUGUGCAUGUGCAUAUUUGUGUACAUGCUGCAGAAAGUUUUCAUUGGCCAU
Molecule: microRNA precursor, 66 nt
Filed under: Chinchilla lanigera (long-tailed chinchilla)
Lineage: Eukaryota; Metazoa; Chordata; Mammalia; Rodentia; Chinchillidae
Description: miRNA (ENSCLAG00000021222.1)
Source: RNAcentral